GGAUGUGGUGCUUAUGGCCGGUGGUGGCGUCGCUCGCGGCACCCCCUUCCUGGGCCUGUCUAGCUUCUCCUUCUGCCUGUGGCUCUGUGGCGUUGCCACCCCCGUGGGUGAGGGUGCCCUGCAGCCUCCUUCUCCCCGCUCGAGGCUAAGGCAGGUUCUGUCCUGGGCAGCCCCCAGGGAGCUCCUCUUCCUGGCCCCCCGCUUCCCGCUUCGUGCUGGACAUCCAGCAGCACCUCCCCAGAAGACUUUUGGGACUCCGACAAUUCUGGGGGAAUCCAGUCUUCCCAAGGCCCGGCGGACACUGGGCUCUGCCCCUCGGGAGGCCGGGCCCGGCCACUAGAAGUCCCCAGUGAGCCGCACAUUGCCCGGUCAGGCCAGCAGGGCCCUGGAGCAAUGUCGGAGAGCAAGGCGAGGUGCCAGGGGCCCACCCACCGCCAGCCCCAGGGAAGACGCUAAGCUGACUGCCAUGGCUAGCUGCUGGGGCUGGGAGCUCCAGGGAGCUGACGGUGCCCUUUCCGGCCUCUCCCCUGCCCUGACUUGCAGAGGCCGGAAUCCCGGAGGAUCCCUGUACCGGACCAGAGUCCACACCCCGCAGCCCAGAAGACCUUAAACACCUUGGGGACAACAUCCCGGGAAGUGUGGCUCUUGCCACGGCUCCCCCCAGCCACCUAGCACCAGUGUUCCAUGGCCAUCUUCCCGUGGCACACAGUUCCGGGGAGCUGGUUUCUGGGUUGUCCUCGUGGCACUUCUUGGCGUCAGAGCAAAUUCCCAAGUGCCUGCCUCAAUGCAAGUGCCAAGUAUGUCUGGUCAGUGAACGCCGGACCGUAGAGGCGACUCAGAGGCAGAGAAGCUUCCUUCGGCGGAGCCCUUGUGUUGGAACUCUGCCAGGACACUGCCGCCAUCUUGGCUGCUUGCGUGGACCUUUGGGCCGGGGCUCCGUUGUUGCCUCCAUCUCAGCAUCCUGUGGGCAUCGUGGCUUGUCUCCAGCCCUCCCCCGUUCUCGGUACCCUUCCGCCCAAUGGCGCUACGUUUCCCUCGCCCGGCUCUGUGCCCGCUGCGCCCCCUCCCAGGCCCAGGGCAGGAUUUGUGCGCGACUCUCCGGUUUGACUUGGCUUCUCCCGCCUGCCCUGGGUAAGCCCAGAAGAGGCCUGGCAGGCCCUGGGCACAGGGCAGAGGAGCUGCCGCCCAUCUGUUGGGAUUGGAUCUGUGAGGUGCCUGCCACAGGCCAGCACUGA
This 1235-nucleotide long non-coding RNA is filed under the name Monodelphis domestica (gray short-tailed opossum). RNAcentral describes it as "lncRNA (ENSMODG00000036936.1)". The record is from RNAcentral. Lineage: Eukaryota; Metazoa; Chordata; Mammalia; Didelphimorphia; Didelphidae.